Molecule: ribosomal RNA, 462 nt
Filed under: uncultured bacterium
Lineage: Bacteria
Description: partial 16S ribosomal RNA
Rfam family: Bacterial small subunit ribosomal RNA
Source: RNAcentral
GACGAACGCUGGCGGCGUGCUUAACACAUGCGAGUCGAACGGAAAGGCCCUUCGGGGUACUCGAGUGGCGAACGGGUGAGUAACACGUGGGUGAUCUGCCCUGCACUUUGGGAUAAGCCUGGGAAACUGGGUCUAAUACCGAAUAGGACCGCGCGCUUCAUGGUGUGUGGUGGAAAGCUUUUGCGGUGUGGGAUGGGCCCGCGGCCUAUCAGCUUGUUGGUGGGGUAAUGGCCUACCAAGGCGACGACGGGUAGCCGGCCUGAGAGGGUGACCGGCCACACUGGGACUGAGAUACGGCCCAGACUCCUACGGGAGGCAGCAGUGGGGAAUAUUGCACAAUGGGCGCAAGCCUGAUGCAGCGACGCCGCGUGAGGGAUGACGGCCUUCGGGUUGUAAACCUCUUUCACCAGGGACGAAGCGCAAGUGACGGUACCUGGAGAAGAAGCACCGGCCAACUACGUG